Pieris napi is the source of this 719-nucleotide long non-coding RNA. RefSeq lists it as uncharacterized. Lineage: Eukaryota; Metazoa; Arthropoda; Insecta; Lepidoptera; Pieridae. The record is from RefSeq and is a predicted model, not a curated record. The transcript is spliced from 2 exons.
CUUUGAGUAUUAAGCCAGAAAGGAGUCGCCUUUACGCGCGUCCCCCUCUGUCAAAGUACGAACCCGCUGGACAUACGCGUUAUAUAAAACUGUUUCUCGACCCUUCCGCGCCAUUCCGGUAUGACGCUUGUUAGUGUAAAGAGCUCCGACAAAAAUGACUGGAUGCAGUGUAUUCGGCUGUAAAAAAAGGUCUGACACAUCGAGUGUACAAAAAGACAACGUGACAUUUCAUCUAUUUCCAAAAGACCCUAUCCGUCGACAACAAUGGAUAAAAGCUUGUGAAAAUCACAGAACAUGGCUACCCAAACGUACAAGUAAAGUUUGCUCCGAUCAUUUUGAUACGUCAUGUUUCUUGUUGCUGGCUAACAACAAAAGAAAAUUAAAGGAAUCAGCAACACCUACAUUGAAUAAUAUUCCUAUUAAUAAAUUUUAUCGACAUUCCUUAUCGACAUGGUGGUAGCUCUAAUUAUCUCGGGAUUGUUGCGUAUGUGUGCUGUACAUGUAACGUGUAAAGAUACGAUUUUUUUUAAUGUGUGCGUUGCGGUUACUCUUGUGUAAGCAAAUUAGGUUUGUUUGCGUGUGUACAAACAUUGUGCAAUUUGUUUCUGUAGUAAAAUUUUGUCUGUGUGAGUGCCUCGUCCCCCGCCGAUGUUUUGGCAGAAAAAUUAAUUAGCAUCGUUCGAGUGAUGGCGUCUCCUUUCUGGCUUAAUACUCAAAGU